Molecule: transfer RNA, 72 nt
Filed under: Fidelibacterota bacterium
Lineage: Bacteria; Pseudomonadati; Fidelibacterota
Also listed under: 1 other name
Description: tRNA-Thr
Rfam family: tRNA
About the family: Transfer RNA (tRNA) molecules are approximately 80 nucleotides in length. Their secondary structure includes four short double-helical elements and three loops (D, anti-codon, and T loops).
Source: RNAcentral
GCCUACAUAGCUCAGUGGUAGAGCACUUCCUUGGUAAGGAAGAGGUCACCAGUUCAAGUCUGGUUGUAGGCU